Molecule: ribosomal RNA, 245 nt
Filed under: uncultured bacterium
Lineage: Bacteria
Description: partial 16S ribosomal RNA
Rfam family: Bacterial small subunit ribosomal RNA
Source: RNAcentral
AACGUGGGUAACCUGCCUUAUAGUGGGGGAGUAGCCUUUCGAAAGGAAGAUUAAUACGCAUAAGAUUGUAGUAUCGCAUGAUAUAGCAAUUAAAAGGAAGCAAUCCGCUAUAAGAUGGACCCGCGUCGCAUUAGCUAGUUGGUGAGGUAAUGGCUCACCAAGGCGACGAUGCGUAGCCGACCUGAGAGGGUGAUCGGCCACAUUGGGACUGAGACACGGCCCAGACUCCUACGGGAGGCAGCAUG